RNAcentral lists this unclassified non-coding RNA (288 nucleotides) under plant metagenome. RNAcentral's name for it is "partial contains small subunit ribosomal RNA, internal transcribed spacer 1, and 5.8S ribosomal RNA". The record is from RNAcentral.
UUUCCGUAGGUGAACCUGCGGAAGGAUCAUUAACAAAUUCCAAAACACGCGUGUUUGAUCUAACGUGUGUUGUGACAGUGGUAGUUGGAUGCGAGGAGGUCGAAUUCAAACAGGGUGUCUCCAUGUUGGGCCAUUCUGUCGAUCUUGUCGAUCUUGUCUAUCUGCCUAUGCUGUCAUGAUGCCUAGAUCAUAUCAUACACACAACACUCACAUUCAAUACAUUGACAACCAAGAGUAACCUAAAACGUUAAAUCGAAACAACUUUUAACAAUGGAUCUCUCGGCUCUU